This 159-nucleotide non-coding RNA is filed under the name Streptomyces sp. RNAcentral describes it as "SAM-I sequence". It matches the Rfam family "SAM riboswitch aptamer (S box leader)". From Rfam's summary of the family: The SAM riboswitch is found upstream of a number of genes which code for proteins involved in methionine or cysteine biosynthesis in Gram-positive bacteria. The SAM riboswitch acts at the level of transcription termination control. The record is from RNAcentral. Lineage: Bacteria; Bacillati; Actinomycetota; Actinomycetes; Kitasatosporales; Streptomycetaceae. RNAcentral also lists the same sequence under 1 other name.
CGCUCAUCCAGAGGGGCAGAGGGAUACGGCCCGUUGAAGCCCCGGCAACCCUCCAGCCGGUCUCCGCCGCAGGCACAGCACGUUGCGCGCGCGAGGCUCCCGGCUAGGGAAGGUGCCAAUUCCGUCUCACGGCGAGAUGCGCCGUGAGGAAGAUGAGGA